Molecule: ribosomal RNA, 451 nt
Filed under: uncultured bacterium
Lineage: Bacteria
Description: bacterial SSU rRNA
Rfam family: Bacterial small subunit ribosomal RNA
Source: RNAcentral
UACGGGAGGCAGCAGUGGGGAAUAUUGCACAAUGGGCGCAAGCCUGAUGCAGCCAUGCCGCGUGUAUGAAGAAGGCCUUCGGGUUGUAAAGUACUUUCAGUCGUGAGGAAGGUGUUAAGGUUAAUAACCUUAGCAAUUGACGUUAGCGACAGAAGAAGCACCGGCUAACUCCGUGCCAGCAGCCGCGGUAAUACGGAGGGUGCGAGCGUUAAUCGGAAUUACUGGGCGUAAAGGGCACGCAGGCGGUUAAUUAAGUUGGAUGUGAAAUCCCCGGGCUUAACCUGGGAAUGGCAUUCAAGACUGGUUAGCUAGAGUCUUGUAGAGGGGGUAGAAUUCCAUGUGUAGCGGUGAAAUGCGUAGAGAUGUGGAGGAAUACCGGUGGCGAAGGCGGCCCCUGGACAAGACUGACGCUCAUGUGCGAAAGCGUGGGGAGCAAACAGGGAUUAGAUAC